CUCCCUCCCAGGGCUUCCUCCCCCAGGAGGGAUAGCAGGAAGGCAGGCAAGGACAGGACCUGAGUCCACACCUCGUCCGCGGUCACCUGCCUGACCAGGAGGAAGGGGAGGGGACAGGAGUGAUUCCACGGAGGUCACCUGGGAGCUGGGGCUGGGCGACCCCAGGGCUGGAUGACCUCAGGGCUGGGUGACCUCAGGGCUGGGUGAUCUCAGGGCUGGGUGACUUCAAGGCUGGGUGACCUCAGGGCUGGAUGACCUCAGGGCUGGGUGACCCCAGGGCUGACUAUUGGCGGAGCACCUGGGGUGGGUGCCAUGGGCACCUGAGAGGGAACUUUGACCUGAGCGGAGGUCAGAACCCUCCUCUGAGGAAGUGCCCCACCCCACUGAGCUCCCAGAGGCUGGUGGCAGGUUGAACAGGGGACUAUGCCAGCAGAGGGACUGCCUUCCAGAGACUUUGGAUCAUCACCACGAUGGGUUGAUUUUACAAAUUUAGCCACUGUCACCGGAGGCCUGGCUGAACUUCAGAGUUUCUUCUCCAGCGUCGGUUUCUUGAUUGCCUAAAGUUCCUUCCAGUCUAAUACUCUGGGAUUCUGGGCCAGUUUCUGGUCUGUCACAGCUGAAUAAGAGUGCAAGGGCAGGAGUGGAAUGUUCAGACUGCUCCAAGAGGACCUUGGCCCAGGUGAGGCAGCAGGCCGGCACCCUGCCCACAACCACAUAGAGGGCCCAGGCUUGUCUGACGCCUCAGGCUGUGCUCUCUCCAGCUCACUGCGGUGCCUCUCCCAGAUUCGGGCACACUCUGGUGUAACCUGCUUCGCUCGUUCGCGGGAUGGGUGGUGAGCAUGGAGCCCAUUUUCCCAUGUGGCAUUUCAGCAACAGGACUUGGCUAUUUGAAACUCCCCAGACAUAGCAGGAUUUAAAAAACGGAUCCCCUCUGGCUGGGCAUUUAGGUUGCUUUCACUUCUGGGCUGCUAUAAACAGCCUGCAGUUACUGCCUCAGGACGCCUUUCUGGAAGAUUCUUCUGCAGCACACACACUGCCUCCUCUGAAGUGUCCUGGCUGCAUGUGCUGCUCUCCUUGCCCUGGGCUGCCCUCUUCUCCCUGGUGUCAUGAGUAUCUGCUGACCUUCUGCUUCUCCCAUGACAGAGUGCCUUCCUUCUCUUCCUUCUCUGCCUUGGCCUCCAGCACGUAGUAGGCGCCUAGGAAAUGUUUUCCAGCAGAACGAGCCAUCUCCUGGCUGGUUUAGCAGUGUGGGAUUGUGUGGUG
RNAcentral lists this long non-coding RNA (1263 nucleotides) under Homo sapiens (human). RNAcentral describes it as "HSALNT0406292". Lineage: Eukaryota; Metazoa; Chordata; Mammalia; Primates; Hominidae. The record is from RNAcentral.